Molecule: long non-coding RNA, 243 nt
Filed under: Anser brachyrhynchus (Pink-footed goose)
Lineage: Eukaryota; Metazoa; Chordata; Aves; Anseriformes; Anatidae
Description: lncRNA (ENSABRG00000010634.1)
Source: RNAcentral
CUCCUGAGGCCAGUGACGGAGAAACAGCAGUCUGAGCAAAGAGAAAACAAAUAGUAAAGCAAAAAGAAGCACCUUGGAGUUGAAACAUUCCAGAUGGAUUUGGAACAGUUCUGUGUGGAUUUUCUGCCAGAAUUUCAGAUUUCACUCCAAAUUGAGAUCUUCAGCACAGGGAAGAUUAGAACCAGUAAAGGAGUAAUUAAGGCCUCUCAUACAUACCCAAAGGUAGCAGCCACAAGAGAUUAA